Molecule: long non-coding RNA, 223 nt
Organism: Juglans regia (Persian walnut)
Lineage: Eukaryota; Viridiplantae; Streptophyta; Magnoliopsida; Fagales; Juglandaceae
Exons: 3
Source: RefSeq, a predicted model, not a curated record
GGAUGAGUUUGCUAGCUUGCCUGCUAUUGUUCCAAAAGGUCCCAUUGCCAUCUUUGGUUUGGGUGGUGGAACUACUGCUCGGCUAAUGCUUGACUUGUGGCCUUCAUUGCAACUUGAUGGCUGGGAGAUUGAUGGAAUUUUGAUCGAUAAAGCAAGAGAAUAUCUUGGGCUGUCAUAUCUUGAGAAACAUACUGUAGCUGGUGGCAUCCUUAAUGUUCAUAUC